This 840-nucleotide long non-coding RNA is filed under the name Ananas comosus (pineapple). RNAcentral's name for it is "long non-coding RNA (ACOM_LNC007969)". Lineage: Eukaryota; Viridiplantae; Streptophyta; Magnoliopsida; Poales; Bromeliaceae. The record is from RNAcentral.
CAAAAUUAAUAUCUAAAUAUUAGAUAUUGAAAAUUCACAAUUUUUUACACAUCUAUCUACAUUAUAUAUAUAAAAAAAUGAAUAUAAAUUUUAAAUAUUUUAGAUUUUCUUUCAAAAAUAUCUCUUGUAUUCUCAAGAUACAGUACAACAGAAUUAGGUUAUAGGGACACAUGUUUGGGACACUUUUGAGUAAGUGUCCCAUUUAUACUAAAACUUAAAAAAACAUCUACUAAUGCCUAAAUAUAAAGCCCAAUCCAACCAAAAUAAAAAGAUUACUCUACUCAACCCACCACACCCAGUCCAUUUGGCCCGAUUAUAAACAGAAAAGAAAAAAAAAAAAAAUCAAUUACCAUAUUUUCUUCUCUCUUCACUCAAUCCGCUGAAAUUUUAGACGAAAAGCCAUUCCUGUCGUCCUCCUCCGCCACCGCAGCCAACGAGAUAAAGUUUCGGCGGUUGCUAAAUGCUUAAAUAAGUUGUUGGUAAAUUAACAGCACUUUUUUAGGUUAUAGCGACACUCUUUAACUGUCACUAUAUACCUAGCGACCCCACAUAUAGCAACACUUUUUAAAAGUGUCGGUAAUUUUAGCUAGCAGCACUUUUUUGACAUAAACCUAUAUUUUAAAGUGUCGUUAUAGAUCGUUUUUGUUGUAGUGAUAUAUCAAUACUUAAAGAAACCAAUUACUAACAGACACGACAUUAACUUUUUAAACAAAUCUAAAUUCUCAAAAUCGAACUUAACUAAUCGACUAUAAUUCUUUCUAUUCUUCUAUCGAAUUAGAUAAUUACAAUCAAAUAGAAUUUUUAACUUAAACAACGGGAGAAUCCUAAACUAUUUAAAUC